GACGAACGCUGGCGGCGUGCUUAACACAUGCAAGUCGAACGGAAAGGCCCUGCGUUUGUGGGGUUCUCGAGUGGCGAACGGGGGAGUAACACGUGAGUAACCUGCCCUUGUAUUUCGGGUAACUUCAGGGAACUCGGGCUAAUACCGGAUAGGAGCUCCUGCUGCAUGGUGGGGGUUGGAAAGUUUCGGCGGUUCGGGAUGGACUCGCGGCUUAUCCGCUUGUUGGUGGGGUAGUGGCUUACCAAGGGUUUGACGGGUAGCCGGCCUGAGAGGGUGACCGGCCACAUUGGGCCUGCGAUACGGCGCAGACUCCAACGGGAGGCAGCGGUGGAGAACAUUGCGCAAUGGGCGGAAGCCUGAUGCAGCAACGCCGCGUGCGGGAUGACGGCUUUCGGGUUGUAAACAGCUUUCGCCGGUAACGAAGCGUGAGUGACGGUAAUGGGUAAAGAAGCACCGGCUAACUACGUG
RNAcentral lists this ribosomal RNA (468 nucleotides) under uncultured bacterium. RNAcentral describes it as "partial 16S ribosomal RNA". It matches the Rfam family "Bacterial small subunit ribosomal RNA", at positions 28 to 507 of the family's 1533-position model. The record is from RNAcentral.